This is a long non-coding RNA of Aricia agestis (brown argus), 109 nucleotides long. RefSeq lists it as uncharacterized. The transcript has 3 exons. The record is from RefSeq and is a predicted model, not a curated record. NCBI's taxonomy places the organism in Eukaryota, Metazoa, Arthropoda, Insecta, Lepidoptera, Lycaenidae.
UCAAAUUGUGAAUUUAAGGCAUACUGUAGAGCAUUUUAGGCCUGCUUUUCUGCAGCCACACAUGCUUCCACAGUUUUCUUUGUAUCUGCAGAAAAUUAAUUUCAUGAGA